Molecule: ribosomal RNA, 497 nt
Filed under: uncultured bacterium
Lineage: Bacteria
Description: partial 16S ribosomal RNA
Rfam family: Bacterial small subunit ribosomal RNA
Source: RNAcentral
AAUGAACGCUGGCGGCGUGCCUAAUACAUGCAAGUCGAGCGAAAGCACCGGAAGCUUGCUCCUCUGCUGUUAGCGGCGGACGGGUGAGUAACUCGUGGAUAACCUACCUAUAAGACUGGGGUAACUUCGGGUAAUAGGGGCUAAUAUCGGAUAAUAUUUUGAACGGCAUGGUUCAAGAGUGAAAGUCGGUCUUGCUGUCUAUUCGAGAUGGAACCGGCCUGCAUUAGCUAGUUGGUAGAGUAAGGGCUUGCCCAGGGAGUGAUGGAUAGCCGGCCUGAGAGGGUGAACGCACACCCUGUAAGUGAGACAGGGACCAGCCUCCUACGGGAGGCAGCAGUAGGGAAUCUUCCGCAAUGAGCGAGAGCCUGACGGAGCAACCCCGCGCGAGUGAUGAAUGUCUUCGGACCGGAAAACUCUGACAGUAGGAGAGAACGAAUGGGUAGGUAACUGCGCACAUCGUGACGGUACCUAAUCAGAAAGCCACGGCUAACUUCGUG